ACUACUUAUUACUACUACUAAUUAAAUAGUUUAGUAAGGUUUUUAGACUAACUUAGAGAAAUAGGUAACUACUACUUAAAACUAGAAAGUUAUCUAAACUUAGUUAUUUAGAAGAAGUAAAAAUUAUAAUAAGGUUUCUAUUAGUAAACUAGCAGAAG
This 158-nucleotide non-coding RNA is filed under the name Colletotrichum orbiculare MAFF 240422. RNAcentral's name for it is "Eukaryotic small subunit ribosomal RNA". It matches the Rfam family "Eukaryotic small subunit ribosomal RNA", at positions 1668 to 1823 of the family's 1831-position model. The record is from Rfam by way of RNAcentral. Lineage: Eukaryota; Fungi; Ascomycota; Sordariomycetes; Glomerellales; Glomerellaceae.